This 253-nucleotide ribosomal RNA is filed under the name uncultured bacterium. RNAcentral's name for it is "partial 16S ribosomal RNA". It matches the Rfam family "Bacterial small subunit ribosomal RNA", at positions 524 to 776 of the family's 1533-position model. The record is from RNAcentral.
UACGUAGGGUCCGAGCGUUGUCCGGAAUUAUUGGGCGUAAAGGGCGCGUAGGCGGUUCGUUAAGUCAGUUGUGAAAGCCCGGGGCUCAACUCCGGAGAGUCGACUGAUACUGGCGAGCUAGAGUACGGAAGAGGUAGCUGGAAUUCCCGGUGUAGCGGUGAAAUGCGCAGAUAUCAGGAAGAACACCCGUGGCGAAGGCGGUUAGCUGGCCUGUAACUGACACUGAGGCGCGAAGGCUAGGGGAGCGAACAGG